Long non-coding RNA from Callithrix jacchus (white-tufted-ear marmoset), 2502 nucleotides. RefSeq lists it as uncharacterized. The record is from RefSeq and is a predicted model, not a curated record. NCBI's taxonomy places the organism in Eukaryota, Metazoa, Chordata, Mammalia, Primates, Cebidae.
AAAUCUACAGAGAGGAAAAAACAAAAACCUGAAUUUUACAUCUUUUUUUUUUUUUUCUUUGAGGCGAAGUCUUGUUUUGUCGCCCAGGCUGGAGUGCAGUGGCGCGAUCUCAGCUCAUUGCAACCUCUGCCUCCUGGGGUCAAACUAUUCUCCUGCCUCAGCCUCCUGAGCAGCUGGGACUACAGGCGCGCACCACCAUGCCCGGCUAAUUUUUGUAUUAGUAGAGACAGGGUUUUACCAUAUUGGCCAGGCUGGUCUUGAACACCUGAUCUCAUGAUUUGACCCCAUCAGCCUCCCAAAAUGCUGGGAUUACAGGCGUGAGCCACUGUGCCUGGCCAACUACACUUUAUCUUAAGAAUAUUAAGUGGAUAAAUGAGAUAGGGAAUUAACAGGCAGACCUCAAAAACCUCUGAAAGAUGACUGGUUUAAAAGUUCAGGGAAAUGCCACAAGGUGGAGAAUACAAAAGACCUAGGCGUUGGGGAAGCUUUGCACAUAUCCCUGGAGCAUGCCAGAGAGAGGCAGCCAGGCACCUAAGGCCCUAGUUUUUGCUUCCUUAUUUUCAAGGGCCAGGGCUCCCAAUGCAACUGAUAAGAGACGAUAUGGGGUUUUGUUGGUGGCAGUCUUUUCUUAAGAGACAGGGUCUUGUUCUGUUGCCCAGGCUGGAGUACAGCAGCAUGAUCACAGUUCACUGCAGCCUCGAAUUCCUGGGUGCAUGCGGUCCUCCCACCUCAGCCUCCUGAGUAGCUGGAACUAUAGGAUCCUACGCCUGCCUAAUUUUAAUUUUUGUGUGUGUGUGUGAGAAAGGGUCUCACUGUGUUGCCCAGGCUGGUCUCAAACUCCUGGGCUCAAGUGGUUCUCCCACCUUGGCCUCUCAAAGUGCUGGGACUACAGGUGUGAGCCACCAGGCCUGGCCUAGAGAUGAUUUAUUCACCACCAAGUACACCCUGAGACAUACACUUUGGAGGCCAAGGCGGGUGGAUCACCUGAGGUCAGGAGUUCAAGACCACCCUGACCAACCCCGUCUUAAAAAAAGAAAAAAUUUACACUCCCAGCAACAGUGUAAAAGUGCUCCUAUUUUUCCACAUCCUCUCCAGCAUCUGUUGUCUCCAGAUUUUUUAAUGAUCGCCAUUCUAACUGGCGAGAGAUGGUAUCUCAACGUGGUUUUGAUUUGCAUCUCUCUAAUGACCAGUGCUGAUGAGCAUUUUUUCAUGUUUGUUGGCCUCAUGUAUGUCUUCUUUUGUAAAGUGUCUGUUUAUAUCCUUUGCCCAUUUUUGAAUGGGCUUGUUUUUAUCUUGUUUUAUCUUGUAAAUCUGUUUUAGUUCUUUGUAGAUUCUGUUUUAGUUCUUUGUAGAUUUGUCAGAUGGGUAAACUGCAAAAAUUUUUUUCCCAUUCUGUUGGUUGCUGAUUCACUCUAAUGACUGUUUCUUUUGCCGUGCAGAAGCUGUGGAGUUUGAUUAGGUCCCAUUUGUCUAUUUUGGCUUUUGUUGCCAAUGCUUUUGGUGUUUUGGUCAUGAAGUCCUUGCCUACUCCUAUGUCCUGAAUGGUUUUGCCUAGAUUUUCUACUUUUACACUGCUGGUGGGAGUGUAAAUUAGUUCAACCAUUGUGGAAGACAGUGUGGCGAUUCCUCAAGGACCUAGAAAUAGAAAUUCCACUUGACCCAGCAAUCCCAUUACUGGGUAUAUAUUUAAAAGAUUAUAAAUCAUUCUACUGUAAGGACACAUGCACAUGAAUGUUCACUGCAGCACAGUUUACAAUAGCAAAGACCUGGAAACAACCCAAAUGCCCAUCAAUGAUAGACUGGACAGGGAAAAUGUGGCACAUAUACACCAUGGAAUAUUAUGCAGCCAUCAAAAACGAUGAGUUUGUGUCCUUUGUAGGGACAUGGAUGAACCAGGACACCAUCAUUCUCAGCAAACUGAUGCAAGAACAGAAAAUCAAACACCGCAUGUUCUCACUUAUAGGUCAAAUGAAAAGCCAAUCACAGAAGACAUUUUCUUGCCCUCACCUGUAAGCUUCAUCUAAAGACAUGUCCAUCCUCUUCAUGAUGUAGGCGAUAGCGAUGGUGGCAGAGCGGGAGAUCCCAGCCAAACAGUGCACUAGGACACAUCCAUUGGAGGCUUUUGCUUUCUCUGUAUGAGUCAAAUUCAAGAAAGGUCACUACUAACAAUUGUGGUCAGCAGUGAAAUCUUGUUUCCAUUUAUUUACUCAGUGUCUUCCACCUAAAAACCUCUAAGCAAAUCUCAUCUGUUUACAUCCUAUUUAUCCUUGCAAUAUUCUUCUGAGGAGGUGGGGGAGGAGAAUUCCCUCACCAUUGACAUGCAGGACAGCUGGGGUCCAAAACUCUUUGUUAAUAAGCAAGCUUUUACUCACGUUUCCUGACUUACAUCAAUACUUCCCCUACUAAGACAUGGCUAAUGUUUAAUCGUGUUAUCUGACAUUUCCAAUUUUUCACUGAUUACAUAAGUGAUGUAAUUAAAAUUUUAAAUUAUUAUUAUUUUGA